AACUGGCCGUUCUGGAGGAGGCACUCUGCCCCACGCCCCCGUCUAUCCCACCUUCCCUCCGACGGUGCGUCGCUGUUUGGUCAGUAGUGUGUGUACAGUCUCUAGCCGCCCUAGAACACUCCCCGCGAUACUCGGUCCCCACCACUGUGACCCCUUUUGUCUGGAACGCAAUGAGGACUCAGGCUGUUGCGGUAGAGCCUUGACACAGCAUGACAAGUGAAACGGAGACACUGUACCCUGUACAGAGCUACGAGGCGAGAAAGAACGGGGACUGUCGGACAACCACACAGCACGGCUCUUAGAAUACACCUUGUCGAGUGCAUCAUUUGACAGAAUCACGAGAUUGGGCUCAGGAUUUGCAAUAAGCUGACUCAAUGAGUCACUCGAGGCACCAUUCAUCACAUUAUCAUUUGGA
Molecule: long non-coding RNA, 415 nt
Organism: Lutra lutra (Eurasian river otter)
Lineage: Eukaryota; Metazoa; Chordata; Mammalia; Carnivora; Mustelidae
Exons: 3
Source: RefSeq, a predicted model, not a curated record